Molecule: ribosomal RNA, 443 nt
Filed under: uncultured bacterium
Lineage: Bacteria
Description: partial 16S ribosomal RNA
Rfam family: Bacterial small subunit ribosomal RNA
Source: RNAcentral
CCUACGGUUGGCAGCAGUAGGGAAUCUUUCACAAUGGGCGAAAGCCUGAUGGAGCAACGCCGCGUGCAGGAUGAAGGCCUUCGGGUUGUAAACUGCUUUUAUAAGCGAGAAAUAUGAUGGUAACUUAUGAAUAAGUAUCUUCUAACUACGUGCCAGCAGCCGCGGUCAUACGUAGGAUCCGAGCAUUAUACGGAGUGACUGGGUGUAAAGAGUGGCGUAUAUGGCAUAAUAAUUAGCUAGUGAAAUCUGGUGGCUCAAAAAUUCAGACUAUUAGCUAAACUGUUAAGCUCGAGACCGUUAGGGGUAACUGGAAUUUCUAGGGUAGGCGUUAAAUCCGUAGAUAUUAGAAGGAACACCAAUAGCGUAGGCAGGUUGCUGGGACGGUUCUGACACUAAGGCACGAAAGCGUAGGGAGCAAACGGGAUUAGAUACCCCAGUAGUCC